GUUAACACGUGCCAUUAACUUCGUGAAACCAUGUCUGACCUAGGGAAGAUAUUCUUGAAAAACGGAUUAGAGUUUGCCAGAUCCUAUGAGUGCGUGACCUCAGAAGAGAAGAGGAGGGGACACUCCAAUGAUAAAGGUUGAAAGGAGCAGAGCCAGUUGGCCAUGGACUGAAACUUUCAGAGCUGAUUCAGAGGAGUUAAUGUUGCCAUGACUAUCUCAGAAGGAGACAUGGACAGAGGAACAGGUAUCUCACUCCCGUAGACAUUUUCUUACUGUGUAGUCCUGAGUGGCCUGGAAGUUGCUGUCUACACAAGCUGACCUUAAACUCACAGCGAUCUGUUUCAGCCUCCUAACUGUUGGGAUUGGAGGCGUGAGCCACGUGCCUGACCUGGAUUAUUUUAUGAAGCCAUUUUAUAAGUGCCAAGGACUUAUGCCUACUUUUAUUAUUCAUGUGAGAACAUUUAUGUGCCAUUUAAACAUUUUACUACAUUAAUGUUAUAACUUUGGAAAUUCUAGUCAAGGAAAGAGCUACAGGUCAGGGUUUCAAGCACAUAAUUUUCUAUACAUUAUAUUUAGUUACAACUUAAAGAUGGGGGUUGGGGAUUUAGCUCAGUGGUAGAGCACUUGCCGAGCAAGCACAAGGCCCUGGGUUCGGUCCUCAGCUCCAGG
Molecule: long non-coding RNA, 669 nt
Filed under: Rattus norvegicus (Norway rat)
Lineage: Eukaryota; Metazoa; Chordata; Mammalia; Rodentia; Muridae
Description: long non-coding RNA NONRATT031076
Source: RNAcentral